GCUCCCAGGUGAUGCUGAGGCUUGAGUCUGUCUGAGUAUGGCACUUACACCUGAGUGACCUGGGUGACAGCUUGAAGAGCUGGUGUGCUUCAUGUGAGCCCUGGCAGCUGCCGGAAACAGUUUCUGAUCUUGAAGCUCACCUCGGUGAGAGCAGCAUGGGCUGAGAACACGGGAGCUGACUUCAGGUGUAACGGGAGGGCUGCAGGCUAGACCGCAAAGGAACAGCUCCCCGCUGACAGAAUGCUUGGAGAGACCCCAGGGAGAGCACCGUGGCCACCACAGCACCGGCCUCCAGGUUACCCCAAGCACAUGAGGCUGGAGAAGGUUCUGGAGUGUCUUCAAGCGGUUCAAGGCUUCUGCCAGAAACAAUUGGGAAAACAGAAUGCAGCCCAGGAUCGAAAGAAUCUAUCCAUUCCUCUGGAAUUCUCCAUCUGUCCGGCUGGGCCCCAUAUUAACAUUUGAGUAAUUCCCUAAUGUGAAGUCGCCAGGCUUUAAAAAUAGUGCAGGCA
This is a long non-coding RNA of Neofelis nebulosa (Clouded leopard), 509 nucleotides long. RefSeq lists it as uncharacterized. NCBI's taxonomy places the organism in Eukaryota, Metazoa, Chordata, Mammalia, Carnivora, Felidae. The record is from RefSeq and is a predicted model, not a curated record. The transcript is spliced from 4 exons.